Molecule: ribosomal RNA, 253 nt
Filed under: uncultured Eubacteriales bacterium
Lineage: Bacteria; Bacillati; Bacillota; Clostridia; Eubacteriales
Description: uncultured Clostridiales bacterium partial 16S ribosomal RNA
Rfam family: Bacterial small subunit ribosomal RNA
Source: RNAcentral
UACGUAGGGGGCAAGCGUUAUCCGGAUUUACUGGGUGUAAAGGGAGCGUAGACGGCUGGCCAAGUCUGAAGUGAAAGCCCGGGGCUUAACCCCUGAACUGCUUUGGAAACUGCCAUGCUAGAGUGCUGGAGAGGUAAGUGGAAUUCCUAGUGUAGCGGUGAAAUGCGUAGAUAUUAGGAGGAACACCAGUGGCGAAGGCGGCCUGCUGGACGAUGACUGACGUUGAGGCUCGAAAGCGUGGGGAGCAAACAGG